UUUUUUACACAGUAUCGAAGAAACUUCUGAUGCCUGGCUGUGACAGGAACAUAGAAGUAGGCGUCUCUCAGAUCUAUUGAGAUUAACCAGUCUCUGUGGUGUACCAUGGGAAUGAUGGAACGGAUGGAUUCCAUGCGAAACCUUCUUACCCUUAAGAAGAAAUUGAGCUGGUGUAGGUCUAGAAUAGGUCUCCACUUUCCUCC
Pelobates cultripes (western spadefoot toad) is the source of this 203-nucleotide non-coding RNA. The record is from the annotation of a GenBank genome assembly. Lineage: Eukaryota; Metazoa; Chordata; Amphibia; Anura; Pelobatidae.